AUGGUUGGGAUAGCUCAGUUGGUAGAGCAGAG
This 32-nucleotide transfer RNA is filed under the name Colchicum dregei. Its description in RNAcentral is "Androcymbium dregei partial transfer RNA-Phe". Lineage: Eukaryota; Viridiplantae; Streptophyta; Magnoliopsida; Liliales; Colchicaceae. The record is from RNAcentral.